UCUUGCUCUAGGCGGCUUGGAAAAAGGCGUUUCACCGCUCCAGCUUGCCGGCGCGUUUCAUACAUUUGCCGCGAAUGGAACGUAUACUGAACC
This 93-nucleotide transfer RNA is filed under the name Bacillus subtilis subsp. subtilis str. BSP1. RNAcentral's name for it is "tRNA-Leu". Lineage: Bacteria; Bacillati; Bacillota; Bacilli; Caryophanales; Bacillaceae. The record is from RNAcentral.